RNAcentral lists this ribosomal RNA (1099 nucleotides) under Besa leptophylla. RNAcentral's name for it is "eukaryotic LSU rRNA". It matches the Rfam family "Eukaryotic large subunit ribosomal RNA", at positions 677 to 1828 of the family's 3401-position model. The record is from RNAcentral. Lineage: Eukaryota; Rhodophyta; Florideophyceae; Gigartinales; Phyllophoraceae.
AGCGCGGGUGCGAGUCGGAGGGUGCAAGCCCGUGGGCGAAGUGAAAGCGAGUUUAAAAACGAGCAGUUUGGGGCGGCAUAAGAUCGUUGAUCUUAAGACCGACCCAGAGCAGUUGCGCUGGGACCCGAAAGAUGGUGAACUAUGCCGGAGUAGGGCAAAGCCAGAGGAAACUCUGGUGGAGGCUCGUAGCGGUGCUGACGUGCAAAUCGCUCGUCGAACUUGGGUAUAGGGGCGAAAGACUAAUCGAACCAUCUAGUAGCUGGUUCCCUCCGAAGUUUCUCUCAGGAUAGCGGGCCGACAAGUUGUUUUGUGCGGUAAAGCGAAUGAUUAGCGCACUCGGGGGCGUUUAGCCUUCGGGCGAUUCUCAAACUUUCAAUGCGCAAGGGUGCCGCUGCUUAAUUGAGCGGUACCGGUAAAAACGUCGGCCCUGUGGGCCACUUUUGGUAAGCAGAACUGGCGAUACGGGAUGAACCGUAAGCAAGGUUAAGGCGCCAAACUGCCCGCUUAUAGAUCCCACAAAAGGUGUUGAUUCAUCGAGACAGCAGGACGGUGGCCAUGGAAGUCGGAAUCCGCCAAGGAGUGUGUAACAACUCACCUGCCGAAUGAAUUAGCCCUGAAAAUGGAUGGCGCUUAAGCGGGCGGCCGACACCUUGCCGUCUGAACAAGAAUUUCAGAUGAGUAGGAGGGCGUGGCGGCCGUGUCGAAGCGCGCGUGCAGACGCGUGUGGAACGGCCGCUAGUGCAGAUCUUGGUGGUAGUAGCAAGUAUUCAAGCGAGAUCCUUGAAGGGCGAAGUGGGGAAGGGUUUCACGCGAACAUUGAUUGGGCGUGAGUGAGUCGUUCCUAAGCCGAGUGGCAAUUGCUAAUUAACGGCGAAAGGGAAGCGGGUUGACAUUCCCGCACACGGAUGUGGAGGCGGCGACGCAUUAUUGGGGCGAACACGCUGGCGAUGGCGCUGGGCAGAGUUGUCUUUUCUGUUUGACCGCUUGCGCACGCAGUGUGGAAUCCGCUUGUAGGGAGAAACACGCGUGUUCGGGCAGAGCGCUGGGGCUUUUCCAGCGUCCAGCUCGCCAUCGACGGCCCUUGAAACUUUGCCUGCUG